ACUAAGCGUACACGGUGGAUGCCCUGGCAGUCAGAGGCGAUGAAGGACGUGCUAAUCUGCGAUAAGCGUCGGUAAGGUGAUAUGAACCGUUAUAACCGGCGAUUUCCGAAUGGGGAAACCCAGUGUGAUUCGUCACACUAUCAUUAACUGAAUCCAUAGGUUAAUGAGGCGAACCGGGGGAACUGAAACAUCUAAGUACCCCGAGGAAAAGAAAUCAACCGAGAUUCCCCCAGUAGCGGCGAGCGAACGGGGAGCAGCCCAGAGCCUGAAUCAGUGUGUGUGUUAGUGGAAGCGUCUGGAAAGGCGUGCGAUACAGGGUGACAGCCCCGUACACAAAAAUGCACAUACUGUGAGCUCGAUGAGUAGGGCGGGACACGUGGUAUCCUGUCUGAAUAUGGGGGGACCAUCCUCCAAGGCUAAAUACUCCUGACUGACCGAUAGUGAACCAGUACCGUGAGGGAAAGGCGAAAAGAACCCCGGCGAGGGGAGUGAAAAAGAACCUGAAACCGUGUACGUACAAGCAGUGGGAGCACGCUUAGGCGUGUGACUGCGUACCUUUUGUAUAAUGGGUCAGCGACUUAUAUUCUGUAGCAAGGUUAACCGAAUAGGGGAGCCGAAGGGAAACCGAGUCUUAACUGGGCGUUAAGUUGCAGGGUAUAGACCCGAAACCCGGUGAUCUAGCCAUGGGCAGGUUGAAGGUUGGGUAACACUAACUGGAGGACCGAACCGACUAAUGUUGAAAAAUUAGCGGAUGACUUGUGGCUGGGGGUGAAAGGCCAAUCAAACCGGGAGAUAGCUGGUUCUCCCCGAAAGCUAUUUAGGUAGCGCCUCGUGAAUUCAUCUCCGGGGGUAGAGCACUGUUUCGGCAAGGGGGUCAUCCCGACUUACCAACCCGAUGCAAACUGCGAAUACCGGAGAAUGUUAUCACGGGAGACACACGGCGGGUGCUAACGUCCGUCGUGAAGAGGGAAACAACCCAGACCGCCAGCUAAGGUCCCAAAGUCAUGGUUAAGUGGGAAACGAUGUGGGAAGGCCCAGACAGCCAGGAUGUUGGCUUAGAAGCAGCCAUCAUUUAAAGAAAGCGUAAUAGCUCACUGGUCGAGUCGGCCUGCGCGGAAGAUGUAACGGGGCUAAACCAUGCACCGAAGCUGCGGCAGCGACGCUUAUGCGUUGUUGGGUAGGGGAGCGUUCUGUAAGCCUGUGAAGGUGUGCUGUGAGGUAUGCUGGAGGUAUCAGAAGUGCGAAUGCUGACAUAAGUAACGAUAAAGCGGGUGAAAAGCCCGCUCGCCGGAAGACCAAGGGUUCCUGUCCAACGUUAAUCGGGGCAGGGUGAGUCGACCCCUAAGGCGAGGCCGAAAGGCGUAGUCGAUGGGAAACAGGUUAAUAUUCCUGUACUUGGUGUUACUGCGAAGGGGGGACGGAGAAGGCUAUGUUGGCCGGGCGACGGUUGUCCCGGUUUAAGCGUGUAGGCUGGUUUUCCAGGCAAAUCCGGAAAAUCAAGGCCGAGGCGUGAUGACGAGGCACUACGGUGCUGAAGCAACAAAUGCCCUGCUUCCAGGAAAAGCCUCUAAGCAUCAGGUAACAUCAAAUCGUACCCCAAACCGACACAGGUGGUCAGGUAGAGAAUACCAAGGCGCUUGAGAGAACUCGGGUGAAGGAACUAGGCAAAAUGGUGCCGUAACUUCGGGAGAAGGCACGCUGAUACGUAGGUGAAGCGACUUGCUCGUGGAGCUGAAAUCAGUCGAAGAUACCAGCUGGCUGCAACUGUUUAUUAAAAACACAGCACUGUGCAAACACGAAAGUGGACGUAUACGGUGUGACGCCUGCCCGGUGCCGGAAGGUUAAUUGAUGGGGUUAGCGCAAGCGAAGCUCUUGAUCGAAGCCCCGGUAAACGGCGGCCGUAACUAUAACGGUCCUAAGGUAGCGAAAUUCCUUGUCGGGUAAGUUCCGACCUGCACGAAUGGCGUAAUGAUGGCCAGGCUGUCUCCACCCGAGACUCAGUGAAAUUGAACUCGCUGUGAAGAUGCAGUGUACCCGCGGCAAGACGGAAAGACCCCGUGAACCUUUACUAUAGCUUGACACUGAACAUUGAGCCUUGAUGUGUAGGAUAGGUGGGAGGCUUUGAAGUGUGGACGCCAGUCUGCAUGGAGCCGACCUUGAAAUACCACCCUUUAAUGUUUGAUGUUCUAACGUGGACCCGUAAUCCGGGUUGCGGACAGUGUCUGGUGGGUAGUUUGACUGGGGCGGUCUCCUCCUAAAGAGUAACGGAGGAGCACGAAGGUUGGCUAAUCCUGGUCGGACAUCAGGAGGUUAGUGCAAUGGCAUAAGCCAGCUUGACUGCGAGCGUGACGGCGCGAGCAGGUGCGAAAGCAGGUCAUAGUGAUCCGGUGGUUCUGAAUGGAAGGGCCAUCGCUCAACGGAUAAAAGGUACUCCGGGGAUAACAGGCUGAUACCGCCCAAGAGUUCAUAUCGACGGCGGUGUUUGGCACCUCGAUGUCGGCUCAUCACAUCCUGGGGCUGAAGUAGGUCCCAAGGGUAUGGCUGUUCGCCAUUUAAAGUGGUACGCGAGCUGGGUUUAGAACGUCGUGAGACAGUUCGGUCCCUAUCUGCCGUGGGCGCUGGAGAACUGAGGGGGGCUGCUCCUAGUACGAGAGGACCGGAGUGGACGCAUCACUGGUGUUCGGGUUGUCAUGCCAAUGGCACUGCCCGGUAGCUAAAUGCGGAAGAGAUAAGUGCUGAAAGCAUCUAAGCACGAAACUUGCCCCGAGAUGAGUUCUCCCUGACCCUUUAAGGGUCCUGAAGGAACGUUGAAGACGACGACGUUGAUAGGCCGGGUGUGUAAGCGCAGCGAUGCGUUGAGCUAACCGGUACUAAUGAACCGUGAGGCUUAACC
RNAcentral lists this ribosomal RNA (2893 nucleotides) under Shigella flexneri S5644. RNAcentral describes it as "bacterial LSU rRNA". It matches the Rfam family "Bacterial large subunit ribosomal RNA". Lineage: Bacteria; Pseudomonadati; Pseudomonadota; Gammaproteobacteria; Enterobacterales; Enterobacteriaceae. The record is from RNAcentral.